GCCAGCAUGGUGUAGUGGUUUCAGUAUUUGACUAUGACUCUGGAGAACAGGGUUCAAAUCCCCACUUAGGCA
Phrynosoma platyrhinos (Desert horned lizard) is the source of this 72-nucleotide non-coding RNA. Lineage: Eukaryota; Metazoa; Chordata; Lepidosauria; Squamata; Phrynosomatidae. The record is from the annotation of a GenBank genome assembly.